Molecule: long non-coding RNA, 948 nt
Organism: Clupea harengus (Atlantic herring)
Lineage: Eukaryota; Metazoa; Chordata; Actinopteri; Clupeiformes; Clupeidae
Source: Ensembl
GCCUAUGCUUUGAACCUCAGCCCAGGUAGUGUUCUGUUGCCCUCUUCUCCUUCUGGAGCCUUGAUGUGGGCAGCACUCUGAAACGUUUGCCCCUACGUCUGAAGUUUGAAAUAAAGGAUUCAAGGAUUUUCCAGACUGAGUCUUUAUUUAUUCAGUCUGCAGACCAACACACUCUCCCCUUCUGCCCUUCUAUCCUCUCCCAGACCCGACUCAGACACGUCCUUCCCUUUCUGCACGGCCCUUUCUUCUCUACACACACAGGACACAUUCAGAUGGAUUAGUGACGUAUAAUAAUAGCACAACUAUGUGCUAACAUUCAAAAGUGGUGUGUGUUUAGCCUGUCCCCAGAUGCUUGGAAUUGAACAAUUGAUGUUUAUUCCCAGAUCUCCCUGCUCCUGGACCAAUUGAUGUUUAUUUCCAGAUCUCCCUGCUCCUGGACCAAUUGAUCUCCUCUUGGUGAAGACGGACUCUGUGUCUCUAAGAUGGGGACCUCCUGCAGGACUGACCACACCCCACAAGUUCAGAGUGACAUGGAGAAGUGAAGGAGACUUUGGAAGAAGUCUCAUAGUGACCGGCGGAAAGGUUGAUAUUUGUGAACUCAUUUCGGGGGAGAAAUAUGACUUUACUGUGGCCACCAUCAUGGGCGCUGGCAGCCAGAGUCCACGUGUCUCUGCAACUCAAUGCACAGAUAUCCCUGUCCCUGAGAAUGUCACUGUGAUCACUGAUCUACCAUCAGUGUCAGUGCUUCGGAGCCAUCCGGCAGGAGUGGAUAAGGUCUCAUAGCUGCUGGCCCUCAGCACUGAAGGAGAAUGUUUGCACAGCAUUUCCACAAACUCUCCUCACUACUCCUUUCAUGAGAUACCAAUGGACAGAGAAUAUUCUAUCAGUGUUUCUACGGUCCUGAAGCAAGGGAGUCAGAGCAAGCCCAUAUCUAAAAAUAGAACAAGU